AGGCAUUUGGUCUAGUGGUAUGAUUCUUGCUUCGGGUGCAAGAGGUCCUGAGUUCAAUUCAAAAUACUUU
Non-coding RNA from Gossypium raimondii (Peruvian cotton), 70 nucleotides. NCBI's taxonomy places the organism in Eukaryota, Viridiplantae, Streptophyta, Magnoliopsida, Malvales, Malvaceae. The record is from Rfam.